UACGGAGGGAGCUAGCGUUGUUCGGAAUUACUGGGCGUAAAGCGCGCGUAGGCGGCUUUGUAAGUUAGAGGUGAAAGCCCGGGGCUCAACUCCGGAAUUGCCUUUAAGACUGCAUCGCUAGAAUUGUGGAGAGGUAAGUGGAAUUCCGAGUGUAGAGGUGAGAUUCGUAGAUAUUCGGAAGAACACCAGUGGCGAAGGCGACUUACUGGACACAUAUUGACGCUGAGGUGCGAAAGCGUGGGGAGCAAACAGG
Molecule: ribosomal RNA, 253 nt
Filed under: uncultured bacterium
Lineage: Bacteria
Description: partial 16S ribosomal RNA
Rfam family: Bacterial small subunit ribosomal RNA
Source: RNAcentral